GGGGGAUGAGUAGAGUGGCGCUCGGGUGAGUAACACGUAGGUAAUUUACCUUUGGGUGGGGAAUAACUCAGGGAAACUUGAGCUAAUACCGCAUAAUGCAGCGGCUCGACAUCGAGACAGUUGUUAAAGCGGGGGCUUUCUUCGGAAACCUCGCGCCUAAAGAGGAGCCUGCGGCAGAUUAGCUUGUUGGUGAGGUAAUGGCUCACCAAGGCGGCGAUCUGUAGCCGGCCUGAGAGGGCGGUCGGCCACACUGACACUUAAAUACGGGUCAGACUCCUACGGGAGGCAGCAGUCGGGAAUUUUGGGCAAUGGGCGCAAGCCUGACCCAGCAACGCCGCGUGAAGGAUGAAAUCCUUCGGGAUGUAAACUUCGCAAGAGUGGGAAGAAUAAGAAAGCACGAAUACUGCUUUCGAUGACGGUACCAUUUGUAAGCUCCGGCUAACUCCGUGCCAGCAGCCGCGGUAAUACGGGGGGAGCAAGCGUUGUUCGGAUUUACUGGGCGUAAAGGGCGCGUAGGCGGUCAGCGCAAGUCAGUUGUGAAAUCUCCGGGCUUAACUCGGAUCGGUCAACUGAUACUGCGCGACUAGAGUGCAGAAGGGGCAACUGGAAUUCUCGGUGUAGCGGUGAAAUGCGUAGAUAUCGAGAGGAACACUGCGGCGAAAGCGGGUUGCUGGGCUGACACUGACGCUGAGGCGCGAAAGCU
RNAcentral lists this ribosomal RNA (703 nucleotides) under uncultured bacterium. Its description in RNAcentral is "bacterial SSU rRNA". It matches the Rfam family "Bacterial small subunit ribosomal RNA", at positions 81 to 761 of the family's 1533-position model. The record is from RNAcentral.